GACGAACGCUGGCGGCGUGCUUAACACAUGCAAGUCGAACGGAAAGGCCCUGCUUUUGUGGGGUGCUCGAGUGGCGAACGGGUGAGUAACACGUGAGUAACCUGCCCUUGACUUUGGGAUAACUUCAGGAAACUGGGGCUAAUACAGGAUAGGAGCUCCUGCUGCAUGGUGGGGGUUGGAAAGUUUCGGCGGUUGGGGAUGGACUCGCGGCUUAUCAGCUUGUUGGUGGGGUAGUGGCUUACCAAGGCUUUGACGGGUAGCCGGCCUGAGAGGGUGACCGGCCACCUUGGGACUGCGAUACGGCCCAGACUCCUACGGGAGGCAGCAGUGGGGAAUAUUGCACAAUGGGCGGAAGCCUGAUGCAGCAACGCCGCGUGCGGGAUGCCGGCCUUCGGGUUGUAAACCGCUUUCGCCGGUGACGAAGCGUGAGUGACGGUAAUGGGUAAAGAAGCACCGGCUAACUACGUG
This 468-nucleotide ribosomal RNA is filed under the name uncultured bacterium. Its description in RNAcentral is "partial 16S ribosomal RNA". It matches the Rfam family "Bacterial small subunit ribosomal RNA", at positions 28 to 507 of the family's 1533-position model. The record is from RNAcentral.